Molecule: long non-coding RNA, 1544 nt
Organism: Brassica napus (rape)
Lineage: Eukaryota; Viridiplantae; Streptophyta; Magnoliopsida; Brassicales; Brassicaceae
Exons: 8
Source: RefSeq, a predicted model, not a curated record
UAGAAACUAAACUUUUAUUACUCCUUUCAUUCUUUGUGCCGAUUUAUGGGAUUCACUUUUUUUUUUCUCAUCUGAAGAAGAAAGAUGUUAUUCACAACUCAAUUCUUCCACCUCUCUCUCUCUCUCCAUAACUCAUAAAAGCCCUUCUUCACCGCAACAGACGUGGUCCUUGGAACCGUUGCAAUUCCCUUCCCUUUUCACCCUAUCGAAGCAAAUCACGCAGUGGCUUCCAGAACUGCAAAAUCCACCUAGAAAAAUAAAUCUAGAGUCUCAUUAACCAAAGAAAUCUACUGAUUUGCUGAUCACUCUCGAACCAUUUGUUUGACUCACAUCUCUGACCUCCCCGAGUUGGAAUACACCCGUAUGUUCAUUGACGCAGAUGGAUUCUGAUUCCACUUAUUCAAAGAGUUUGAAGCUAAUUUCGGGCGCAGAGGCGAUCUCUAUUCGGUUCUGAUUUCCUCUUAUUGAUUCUCUGAUUAAUAAACCACAAAACAUAUGUUAAAUCAAGGUUAAAAUGUGGGUGGAACAGAUGGAGGCAGCAAACUACUCUUGGAAGAACCAACAACCAAUGUAGUUUUUCAGAUUACAUCUCAUCUAAGAAAUGAGAAUAUCACAUCUGUUGAUGAUCCUCUUCAUGAUAUCUCCAAGGACUGGCUAUACUCUGAAGUUUCAACUGAAUACAGGUUACAUACUACAAGAUAUGAUAAGAGGAAGAACAGUUCGAUGCAGUAGUUUAGGAUGGCAUUGUCAUAUGAUCCAUUGUGUUGGGAAACAUAUGGAGAAAUUUGUAGUUUAGCUUUGUAUGAGGAAUCUGAGCGUCACAGGAGUGGUUAAAUAGCAACAAGGAGAAAGAUUCCCAUGUAGCAGUCAUAUGGAGAGCGCCAAAAACUGUUUCGAUGAGAUAGCAGUGAAGGACGUUUGUUUCUGGACUGCUCUCAUCUACGAGUAUCAUGCACCAUCAGAAGCUGGUGCGGAUAUUCUUUUGGAUUCUUUGAGAAUGGGAACACUUACUGCUGCGCAAAACAUCUUAUUGGAUGGAGACUUACUAUCUAUUCACGAGAAUAAUGCUUCAAGAGCCACCAUCGAAACAUUUUCAUCAACUUCUCCCUUUGCUUCUUCUUCAAUGAUGGAUUUAUAGGACGUAUUUGCUCCCCCACCUCAAAAAGGGGAUAAGGGUCCAACAUUUCCGUCCAUUUUUGCAUUGGAGAGCAGCACUUAGCAAAUAUAAUAUGCCAUUUGAAUUGCGAGAUCUUACUCUAGACGUGUCCACUUUCUUUUAAAGGCUGCAGUUCCAAAAGCCAGGUCCCAAAUUUGUUUUUAUGCUUAAUGUUAUAAUCCUUACGCUUCAUAGUUUAUUCCACACAAUAUUUCCUAAUCAAAAUGCCUCCAUAGAGUUUGGUUCUUAGCUAAAUCGGUCCAAGCUUUUAUAGCAUGAUAAACUAUUGUUUUAGCAAAUUUCUUACUUCAUAAAUUAUAACACUAACUACUCUGGAUAAUGAUUUGUAUGUCUUAGGAUGUUGGUAUAUGUAUUCUUUGUUUGAUCA